GAUGAACGCUGGCGGCGUGCCUAACACAUGCAAGUCGAACGGAGAUUACGGACGGAAGUUUUCGGAUGGAAGACUGUAAUUCUUAGUGGCGGACGGGUGAGUAACGCGUGGGCAACCUGCCCUAUACAGGGGGAUAGCAGCUGGAAACGGCUGGUAAGCCCCCAUAAUUCGGUAAAAUCGAAUUAUUUUAUCGGGAAAUGAGCAAUCAGUAUAAGGAUGGGCCCGCGUCCGUUUAGCAGGUUGGCAGGGUAAAAGCCUACCAAAGCGACGAUCGGUAGCCGGACUGAGAGGUCGGACGGCCACAUUGGGACUGAGACACGGCCCAAACUCCUACGGGAGGCAGCAGUGGGGGAUAUUGCACAAUGGAGGAAACUCUGAUGCAGCGACGCCGCGUGAGUGAAGAAGUAUUUCGGUAUGUAAAGCUCUAUCAGCAGGGAAGAUGAUGACGGUACCUGACGAAGAAGCCCCGGCUAACUACGUG
Molecule: ribosomal RNA, 481 nt
Filed under: uncultured bacterium
Lineage: Bacteria
Description: partial 16S ribosomal RNA
Rfam family: Bacterial small subunit ribosomal RNA
Source: RNAcentral